Long non-coding RNA from Octodon degus (degu), 87 nucleotides. RefSeq lists it as uncharacterized. The transcript is spliced from 3 exons. The record is from RefSeq and is a predicted model, not a curated record. Lineage: Eukaryota; Metazoa; Chordata; Mammalia; Rodentia; Octodontidae.
CAGCACAAGACCACAAAAGCAACAAGAUCCAAAGUGGGGAGGGCAAGCCUCUUUUCUGUUCUUAUAUUGUAAGCAGUCUACAACCUC